AAAAUCUAAGGCCAAAGUCAAAGGUACCUUUAAGGUAAUGAAGGAAUCUUUUCACUUUUUUGAGAUUGCCUUUUGUUGGCGCUUAGAAAUGUUCAGAGACCUGAUUGACAACAAAUGUGAUAUGUGGCCUUAUGUAGGUGGGAUACUGAAGGCUUUUAACAAGACCUCUAUAUUCAGUCGCAUCCACAGGUUCAUUAUCAUUCGAACACGGUAUUGAUCAUACAACAAUUAGCGUGUUGAUAGGAGAACAAUCCUGCAUCCGUGCCUUUGAAAGAAUGUCUAUAGUGUACUUUGCUUGAGAUAGAAAGAUGCAAUGCGUGAAUUGUUGAACUUCAAUGCCGAGGAAAUAAUUUAGAUUACCAAGAUCUUUUAAAGCAAACUUUGAGGUGAGAUUGUUGAUAAUUAAUUGAAUUUCCUUCUCAUUAUUUC
RNAcentral lists this long non-coding RNA (429 nucleotides) under Citrus sinensis (sweet orange). Its description in RNAcentral is "long non-coding RNA (CSIN_LNC000853)". The record is from RNAcentral. Lineage: Eukaryota; Viridiplantae; Streptophyta; Magnoliopsida; Sapindales; Rutaceae.